GAUUACAAAAGACCUUAUCCUCUCUGUAAUCGCGGCUG
RNAcentral lists this non-coding RNA (38 nucleotides) under unclassified sequences. RNAcentral describes it as "S4-Bacteroidia ribosomal protein leader". It matches the Rfam family "S4-Bacteroidia ribosomal protein leader". The record is from RNAcentral.